CCUACGGGAGGCAGCAGUGGGGAAUAUUGCACAAUGGGGGAAACCCUGAUGCAGCGACGCCGCGUGAGUGAAGAAGUAUCUCGGUACGUAAAGCUCUAUCAGCAGGGACGAAAAUGACGGUACCUGACUAAGAAGCCCCGGCUAACUACGUUCCAGCAGCCGCGGUAAUACGUAGGGUGCAAGCGUUAUCCAGAUUUACUGGGUGUAAAGUGAGCGUAGACGGGAGGACAAGUCUGGAGUGAAAUCCCGGGGCUUAACCCCGGAACUGCUUUGGAAACUGGGCGGCUGGAGUGCAGGAGGGGUAAGCGGAAUUCCUAGUGUAGCGGUGAAAUGCGUAGAUAUUAGGAGGAACACCGGUGGCGAAGGCGGCUUACUGGACUGUAACUGACGUUGAGGCUCGAAAGCGUGGGGAGCAAACAGGAUUAGAUACCCUUGUAGUC
This 440-nucleotide ribosomal RNA is filed under the name uncultured bacterium. RNAcentral's name for it is "partial 16S ribosomal RNA". It matches the Rfam family "Bacterial small subunit ribosomal RNA", at positions 338 to 795 of the family's 1533-position model. The record is from RNAcentral.